CUUGUAGGUUCCGAGGGUGGCUUCAGAGUUGGCCUUGCACCUCACAUACAACGCCUCUUGAGCUGCCUUGACAUUCUCCUCUUUGCCUGCCCAUGUCUUCAAGGUAGACUGCUGCAACGCACGUCCGAAUGAGAAAGACAAUGACCAUGGCUUCUUGGUCUUCAACUGGUUCAUGGCGUUCAAGUUCCUUGUAGCUUCUUCCUCGCUCUGUCCACCGGAUAAGAAGACAAUGGCUGGAACAGCAGCUGGGACGGUUCUCUGAAGGGCACGGACGGUGUGCUCAGCAAUGACUUCAGGUGAAACCUUGGGGCUGUCUGAUCCGGGAGUCACCAUGUUAGGCUUCAAGAGGGUACCCUCGAGCAAGACAUGGUGGUCGCUAAGGGCCUUGUAGCAAGCUGCAAGAACACGCUCAGUCACAGCAGCACACUUCUGGAUGUCAUGGGAUCCAUCAACUAGGAUCUCAGGCUCAACAAUGGGUACAAGACCGUUCUCUUGGCAGAUAACAGCGUAUCUAGCUAAUCCGUAAGCGUUCUCAUGGAUGGAUAGCUCAGAUGGCUCGUUCUCACCGAUCUUGAGGACUGCACGCCACUUGGCGAAACGAGCACCAGCUUCGUAGUACUUCUUGCAUCGGUCACCAAGACCGUCAAGACCUUGAGUGGUGGUCUCACCGUUAGUUCCAGCUAGCUCAACGGUACCCUUGUCAACCUUGAUACCGGGAAGAACUCCUCCUUCCUUCAAGAUAUCAACAAAAAGCUUGCCUAUACAAAGAAAACAGCAUCAUCAAUAAGAAACAGUCACAAACCACAAACAGAGUAAAACAUUAAGUAAAAGAAUUAAUCGAAUACAUACCAUCGGAACUCUUUUGGUAAAGAGUCUCUUCGAAGAGGAUGACACCACUAAGGCAAGGGAGAGCACCAGGGGCGGUGAAGAGAAGCUCACGGAGGUUACGUCUGUUGGUCUCAACGUUCUCAACGUUGAUGCUCGCAAGACGCUUUCCGAUGGUACCGGUGGACUCAUCAGCGGCCAAAAUACCUUUUCCAGGUGUGCCGAUGUAGGCAGCGUUGGCAAUCAACUCAUCUGCGUACGUUUAAAAACGAAUAUACAAAUCAACAGAGAAAACUUCAGAUCGUGAAUACUGAUUAGAUCCGUACUAAAACCGAUGAGAACAGAAUCAGAUCUAGGCUAGUUUUUGUCAUAGAAAUCAUCGACAGAUCAAAUUCAGCUCUCUGAACAAGCUAAGUUAUAGAAUCAACCAGAUCUAGGCGAUUAAACACGCUAAUAAGAAGCAAAACAAGAGAUCUUACGACUACGAAUCGAAUCCAAUAAAAGAAUCUAAACACCUAGAGGAUAAACAGAUUCGAGGGAGAGAUCGAGAUCUUACCGGCGAAUUUGCUGGUGAAGGCAGACAUGUUUAGACGGAGAGAUCGAGA
This 1430-nucleotide long non-coding RNA is filed under the name Arabidopsis lyrata. RNAcentral describes it as "long non-coding RNA (ALYR_LNC001796)". The record is from RNAcentral. Lineage: Eukaryota; Viridiplantae; Streptophyta; Magnoliopsida; Brassicales; Brassicaceae.